RNAcentral lists this unclassified non-coding RNA (2870 nucleotides) under Hevea brasiliensis (rubber tree). Lineage: Eukaryota; Viridiplantae; Streptophyta; Magnoliopsida; Malpighiales; Euphorbiaceae. The record is from RNAcentral.
UUUCCCGCUUCUUUAUUGGAGCUAUUUACCCGAUUCUUCUUCACUUCUGGUUCGUCAAUGGCCACUGAUACUGGGUGGGUUCACCUCCAGAUCCGUGCUGUUCGACGGCUGUAAUGGGCUUGUCUCCCCUUCUUCUUCUUAUUAUUGUUAUUACUAUUGUUAUUCUCUAUUUCUGGUUCUUCAAUGGCUGCUGCUAAUGGGUGGGUUUACCUCCAUAUCCGUGUUGUGCGACGGCUGUAAUAGGCUUGCAUGCCGUGUUGUGCUAUGAACAUCGAUGGGCGACGGCUGUGCUUGUGGAAUCUCCUGUGGCUUACCAUUAAGAUUGAUUCAGUUUUGCGAUUGUUUGUGAAUUGUGACUUUGUGUAGUUGCUGAUUGUUAAUGAAACUGGUUGAAAUUUGUCCAAAUUGGUUGCUGUCUACUGAAAAAACCGAUGAAUUGGUUGAAAAGUUGAAAUUAGCUGCAGAGUGACUCAAAUGGAUGAACCAAAUCGAAUAAAUAAAAUCGAUUGAUUCAGUUUCAAUUUUUAUUCAAUUUAGUUCCAUUUAUAUAAUUUUAUAUUUCAAAUUUUCGAUUUUUCCUAUUGAGUUUGGAACUGAAUCGACUAUUGCGCCCCUCUAUUUGAAGUUUCUGAAGUCUCAUAAGCUCUUAUUGGCAGAUGCAGUUGAGCAGACCAUACACCCUCCUUUUAUUAUCGAAGCAGACCAUCGGGUAAGAUUCAGAACCACUAGACUGAUUGUAAACUAAUUAACAUCGGGUAAAUGUUUUUGCUGAUAUAAUAGCUGUAUCUGAUAUUUUUUGUCAUUUUAUUUUUAAUGAUCCUACCAAAAAUGAAUUAGAAGACAAUAAGGAAGAAUUAUUGGAGCUUGAGAAUCCAACUGAAAUUGGCAAUUAGAGUAAAAUUGCCAUUUCUUAUGUAGAAAUACUAUUACAGAAUGGCAGAGAACCCCUGUAUAGGAGUACUAGUUAUUGUACUUUUAGACAUAGAGACCGUUGUGCCCAUUGGCCAUUUUCUUCAUGGAUUCGAAUCUGGGGCCCUUAUCCAUAAACUUUGUGGUGGAAUAAAGCUUUAGGUAAUCUUGAAAACUGUAGCUGUUAGGGUACAAAAGUUUGGGUGCUGGAGAAAUAAUGGCAUCGCCUGCAGGAUUGUAGAAGGUGGCAAUGGAGAGUCUACUUCCAUUCUUGUCAGCCAUGACACGGUGCAAAGCACUUUUAUACCUUCCAUUGCUCAACACUUCCAGUUGAUCACCAGUAUUGAUGAAAAUUCUGUUGUUCUUGGAUGGUGGGAUCUCUACCCAUUCUCCAUCCUUGAAGAAUUCAAGACCUGGGACUUGAUCAUCUUGGAGCAAAAGUAUGAUCCCCCCAGCAUCUGUGUGCUCUCUAAGUCCUUUCACAAGCUCUGGCUGAGGACAUUGUGGGUACUUGGCCACUUUUGUUCCCACAGAAGGACCUCUACCUCCUUUGAAUGCGUCCUUUAUAUGAUCUUUCUCCAAACCAAGGUUCUCAGAUAUGAGCUCAGAAAUCUUCUCUGCUAGCUUUAUCAGUCGAGUUAUGUACUCAUCCAUUGAUUUGCUGAAUGUAUAAGUUAUUUAUGAGUCAACGUAGUAUAAUAAAGUAAAAGUUUAAGUAGUUUCAGCAUCCCAUGACUUACCAAAAAUCCUGUGGCAGGUUUGGGAUUUCAUUGAUGUUGGACGUUGGACGGUGCCAAAUGAAGUAAGUGCUCUCCCAGUCUAUAUCAGAUGUAUUACCAUCAAUAUUCAAGCUUUUAGCUAUUGCUGAUUCAUAGAAGCUUUCCUUCAAGUUUACUUCAUAGUGAGAAUUCACCAACUGCUUUACUUUCUCCAUCAAUUCCUUAUCAAUUCCAUGGUUCUCAACCUGCAUACAUUCAGUAAUAUUAGAAUAAAUAAAUCAUUAAUUUGAUUUUAUAUAAAGAGACUCUCAUUAUUUGUACCUGAAAGAAACCCCAUUUCUCACAAGCUUCAUGCAGAAGUCCCAUCAUUUUGCUCCUGUUCUCACCAUUGAAUUCACUAAAAUCAAUCACUGGUAUCUCCAUCUUCUCCUUCUCUUCUUUCUAGUUUAGAUUGUAAAAAAUAGGCAAGUUAGAGAAGUAUAUAUAGGCUUAAGACCUGAGGGCAUAAUGGGGAUCUGAUAAUCUGUUAAUUAAUAUUUUAUUAAUCAGUGUAAUAGUUAGUUAAGUUGUAAGUUAACCAUAGUUUGAAAUGGUUGGAAACUGUGAAGAUUAUUAAACGCAUAGGUCUAUGUUCAAUUCAUGAUAACUACCAUGUGAUGUUGUUCAUUUUUAACUUAUUUCUGAUGAUCUAAACGAGUCAAUAAGAUGACUUGCAAACCAAGCGUAAGACUUUCCAAAUAGGGUCGAUCCGGCCCCUUGUAAUUCUCACCUUCUAAUCAUUAUUAGUUUGGGCAAAUCUGUGGGCAAUGGAGGCAUUAUUGAUCUCAAAACAGCCAAAGGGAAACCGUGGGAUGGGAUCCCACAAAGGCUACCAGUGGGCGAUUUUCCCUGGAAAUUAAAUUGUUCCACUGAGAUAUUGGUAGUGGUCUGCGUCUGCUUCAUCUUUGUCCAUUAUUGGCUGCUUGUCCUAUGUUAGUUAUCGAAAAUAAAUUUUCCUAUCCAAAGUUGAUUCUUUUUCCAAAUGAAGAUGUUUGUAUUCUCGCUGCUUGGGUUUCUUGCAACUUUUGAUCCUAGAUUGCUGUCUUUUAAAGGAUUUCUGAAGGACACAAACUAGUAUAGAAAGUAGAAACAAACUGAGCAAUCAUGUGAUUUAUCAAUUUUUUUUAUUGCUCUGGACAGGGAUAUGCCGUAUUUGUUUUAUACUUCUUGUUUAAUGUUGGCAAUUUUGAAUAUAAAUCUGAA